Molecule: long non-coding RNA, 476 nt
Filed under: Chinchilla lanigera (long-tailed chinchilla)
Lineage: Eukaryota; Metazoa; Chordata; Mammalia; Rodentia; Chinchillidae
Description: lncRNA (ENSCLAG00000026053.1)
Source: RNAcentral
GUUUUUCUCAAGGCUCAGAAUUAGAAUGGGCAAGAUGGUGAAUGGCUUCACGGGCCACUUAGCCUUACAACUCAAGAAUUUAAAAGUAUUGAGGAAAUUUUUAUUUGAUGUUUUGCUUGCCCUUGAUAGAAAAGGCAUCUGUAUGGACUUGCCAACUGUAGUUUUUGGAAGGACUCACCCUGGACGAUCCUCCGGGCCAUCCCAUACGCUCCCUUCUCUCCGCUCUAGGAUUCUGCUCUACUUGGAGAAAACUGGGCAGUUCUGGCUGGUUUCCUACUUCGGGGUUGAAGGUGCCAAGCCAAGGUUUGGCCUGGAGUCUCUUCGAGACGCGGAGCACCUCUGACCCCUACUGGCCGCUAGCGGUAUCACAUCUCUAGAACGGCCAGGACUCGCGCACACUCUCUCGUGGUCCCUGCAGUACCGCAGAAGCACCAGUCACAGCACCAAAACGGACACAGGCCGAGCCUUAAAUCCCC